CCUACGGGUGGCAGCAGUGAGGAAUAUUGGUCAAUGGACGCAAGUCUGAACCAGCCAUGCCGCGUGCAGGAUGAAGGCCUUCUGGGUUGUAAACUGCUUUUAUCAGGGAAGAAACCACAGAUUUCUAUUUGUGCCGACGGUACCUGAGGAAUAAGCACCGGCUAACUCCGUGCCAGCAGCCGCGGUAAUACGGAGGGUGCAAGCGUUAUCCGGAUUCACUGGGUUUAAAGGGUGUGUAGGCGGGCUUGUAAGUCCGAGGUGAAAUCUCCGAGCUCAACUUGGAAACUGCCUUGGAUACUAUAGGUCUUGAAUAUCGUUGAGGUAGGCGGAAUAUGUCAUGUAGCGGUGAAAUGCUUAGAUAUGACAUAGAACACCGAUUGCGAAGGCAGCUUGCUAAACGAUUAUUGACGCUGAGGCACGAAAGCGUGGGGAUCAAACAGGAUUAGAUACCCUUGUAGUC
RNAcentral lists this ribosomal RNA (460 nucleotides) under uncultured bacterium. RNAcentral describes it as "bacterial SSU rRNA". It matches the Rfam family "Bacterial small subunit ribosomal RNA", at positions 338 to 795 of the family's 1533-position model. The record is from RNAcentral.